Styela clava is the source of this 576-nucleotide non-coding RNA. Lineage: Eukaryota; Metazoa; Chordata; Ascidiacea; Stolidobranchia; Styelidae. The record is from RefSeq and is a predicted model, not a curated record.
GUAUAUAAAAACAUAAAAAUCUGUAUUUUCAGCAUAAAUAUAACUCUAGCUCAAUAAUGGAAAUUAAAACAAAAGAUCCCGAAACUAAGGACCUAUUACCUAAUUACGAAGAAGUUCGGCCCCGUCUCAACCUAUACAUCGUUGCAUUUUACAUCCUGAUCUUUCUCCUUCUGGUCGGAAUCGCUAUCGUUGUCCUCAUCACUCAAGAAUUAAUUUAGGUUCAAAGGAACAAGAACAAUAAAUUGAAAGUUAACAGUUCCCGGAAUAUGAAUAUACAAACCAAUUGGAACUAUGAAUAUCUUUCGACAGAUAAUGGCAAAAUCAAUAUAUUGGCCGAAACAAGUUUUCUUGUCGUAUCAAGAUGAAGUCUACACAUUGAAAUGAAUCGAAGAAGUCCCCGUUGCUACUGGUUUGAAACGACUAUUAGAUGUCAUAUAAUUUAGUCGUCUUGUCACAUACCUCUCUGCCUGGAUAAAAAAUAUUCCGUAAUAUACAAGUUGGGUGUUGGAUAGUUUUUAUAGCUAGAACAAUAUUUCAGACUAAAUUUCACGUGGAAUAAAUAGACACAAUUUCCAA